UAUUAGACUUUAUACAGGUUACGACAAAAGCCCGUUUUGGCCGAUUUCCAACAAAAAAAUGAAUGAAAAUUUUGACAGACAAAUUGGAAUGGUUUGUUUACAAUUCGACUGGUUUGUUUACAAUUUGUCUGGAUUGCAAUCGUGCUAUGCUGUGAUAAGGAAGAAAUCGAGAAAGUGAGCAUCCAGUAAAAAUAUGCAUUUGUUGUGGUGAUAAGAUCCAACAUGUAGGAGUUUAACAUUGUGUCAGCAUUAUUAGCAUUACGGACCAGGAGAUAAAUGAGCGAGUGAAGUACCCAGCUAGAAAGCAUAUGUUGAAGGGAAAAUGUAUGCAGUUGCUAUAACUUGUGCGAUUUCUCAUAUACGUGUGCAGUGCAGACACAGUUUCAUCUUACGAGUUUCCUUUCCGACCAAGAACAGUUCAGUAACUAUGAAGAGGGAGGGGGGCAAAGUGCCGUAUAUUCCCAA
Molecule: long non-coding RNA, 465 nt
Organism: Anopheles arabiensis
Lineage: Eukaryota; Metazoa; Arthropoda; Insecta; Diptera; Culicidae
Exons: 4
Source: RefSeq, a predicted model, not a curated record